AUCCGAGAGCAUGAUUUCCUAUCAGAGGGACUCAAAAUGAAAGAAGAGCUCGAGCACGCGUUCGGAGGAGGUUUGCCUCGAGACGUGCAAUUGAAACCCAAGCGAUCGUUGUCCCAUAGUGACUUUCUUGAGCCCGACCACACCCUCGCAGGAAGGGGGAUCUCCGUCCCUCCUAUUCCUGUUCAAUCAAAGUCGCUUAGUAGUAUUGAG
This is a long non-coding RNA of Lytechinus pictus (painted urchin), 210 nucleotides long. RefSeq lists it as uncharacterized. The record is from RefSeq and is a predicted model, not a curated record. The transcript has 3 exons. Lineage: Eukaryota; Metazoa; Echinodermata; Echinoidea; Temnopleuroida; Toxopneustidae.